This 425-nucleotide long non-coding RNA is filed under the name Homo sapiens (human). RNAcentral's name for it is "PREDICTED lncRNA (TCONS_00229619)". The record is from RNAcentral. Lineage: Eukaryota; Metazoa; Chordata; Mammalia; Primates; Hominidae.
UCCUUGUGGGAGGCCAGCCCGGGAGAUCUACAGGCGAUCAGGGAGGCGCCCCGUGGCCCCUGGUACCCGUGCGCUGCAGCGUCUCCUUCCCGUUCUCCAGGUAUCUGCGGAGCCACUCCACGCACCUGCCCUCCAGGUAGGCUGUCUGCUGCUCCGCCUCAUGGGCCGCCUCCCACUUGCGCUGGGUAAUCUGAGCCGCCAUGGCCGCCGCAGUCCAAGAGCUCAGGUCCUGGUUUAGGGCGAUGUAAUCUUUUUACAGAGAAUCCUUUUUACAGAGAAUGGGGAGAUAACCAGGACAGGAUUUAUGGACCCAGUGAUUCCACCGUGGGGCAUAAUUUGUCCAGGUUUAUUCCCUGGCCUCUGUAAGCCCCACUGUGAUAGGGACAUAAUGGUGCUGUGGGAAUCUGGGCAGCAAUGUUAGCUCA